CCUACGGGAGGCAGCAGUGGGGAAUAUUGGACAAUGGGGGGAACCCUGAUCCAGCCAUGCCGCGUGUGUGAAGAAGGCCCUCGGGUUGUAAAGCACUUUCAGUGAGGAAGAACGCCUGGUGGUUAAUACCCAUCAGGAAAGACAUCACUCACAGAAGAAGCACCAGCUAACUCCGUGCCAGCAGCCGCGGUAAUACGGAGGGUGCGAGCGUUAAUCGGAAUUACUGGGCGUAAAGCGCGCGUAGGUGGCUUGAUAAGCCGGUUGUGAAAGCCCCGGGCUCAACCUGGGAACGGCAUCCGGAACUGUCAAGCUAGAGUGCAGGAGAGGAAGGUAGAAUUCCCGGUGUAGCGGUGAAAUGCGUAGAGAUCGGGAGGAAUACCAGUGGCGAAGGCGGCCUUCUGGACUGACACUGACACUGAGGUGCGAAAGCGUGGGUAGCAAACAGGAUUAGAUACCCCUGUAGUC
Molecule: ribosomal RNA, 465 nt
Filed under: Vreelandella stevensii
Lineage: Bacteria; Pseudomonadati; Pseudomonadota; Gammaproteobacteria; Oceanospirillales; Halomonadaceae
Description: partial 16S ribosomal RNA
Rfam family: Bacterial small subunit ribosomal RNA
Source: RNAcentral